RNAcentral lists this transfer RNA (73 nucleotides) under Shigella flexneri CDC 796-83. RNAcentral describes it as "tRNA-Val". It matches the Rfam family "tRNA". From Rfam's summary of the family: Transfer RNA (tRNA) molecules are approximately 80 nucleotides in length. Their secondary structure includes four short double-helical elements and three loops (D, anti-codon, and T loops). Lineage: Bacteria; Pseudomonadati; Pseudomonadota; Gammaproteobacteria; Enterobacterales; Enterobacteriaceae. The record is from RNAcentral.
GGGUGAUUGGCUCAGCUGGGAGAGCACCUCCCUUACAAGGAGGGGGUCGGCGGUUCGAUCCCGUCAUCACCCA